AUUACCCGAGGAAACUUCAUUGCUAGGGAUGGAGGGCCCAGGCACAGGCCUUUGAGUUUUCCACCUUAACCCCUAAAAUGGCACAUUCUCCUUACCUUAAGAGUUUCCAUUUCUGUAGAGGAAUUUUUUUUAUAUUAGUUUAUUUCUAAAAUUUAGCAUCUUUGUAUGGGUGAGAUUUGCAAUUUGGAUCUCCAAAGUCUAUAGCCAUGGUCAGGACUUGUGUAGUAAAUCCAGAGCCACUUAAGGCUACAUAAUGAAGCUGAUUUUUGACUCUAUGGACAAGCCACAUGAAUAUUAUUUGUGUUACAAUUUUCUCUCGGGCUCAAAACAAUAAAAAGUAUAACAAAACUUCAGACAGCUAAUCUAGCACUACACAACUAGAGCUGGCCAUGAUGAUUUAAAGCUAGAACUUUUUCCACCAUCCAAGCUAUUGUCAUCUCUUACCUGGAUCACUGCAAUAGUUCCUAAUUUCUCUCCCUGCCACCCUUCAUUCUCCCUAACAGUCCAUCUUCCACAUAGGCAGAAUAAUCUUUUAAAAACUUAGGUAAAAAAUUUUAUUAAGAAAGUGAAAAGAUAACCCAGAGAAUGGGAGAAAGUUUUUGCAAAUCAUAUGUCUGAUAAGGGCCAAGUAUCCUGAAUAUAAAAAGAGCUCUUACAAUUCAACAAUAAAAAGACCAAUAACCCAAUAUAAAAAUGGGCAAAGGACUUAGACAUUUCUUCAAAGAAGGAUACAAAGAAAGAAAUGAAAGCAUAUAGUCAUACAAAACCUUCUACACAAAUGUUCAUAGCAACAUUAUUCAUAAAACUCAAAAAGUGGAACAGCCCAACUGUCCAUUUACAGAUGAAGGGAUGAACAAACUGUGGUCUAUACCUACAAUGGAAUAUUAUUCUGCCAUAAAAAGGAAUGAAGUACUGUUACAUACAACAUAAAUGACCUUGAAAUAUUAUGCUAAGCAAAAAAAGCCAGGCACAACAGGCUGUAUGACUCUAUUUAUAUAAAUGUCCAGAACAGGCAAAUCUGUAGAGAUGAAAAGCAGACUACUAUUUGCCAAGGGGAGUAACUGCUAACAGGUAUGAGAUUUCUUUUGGGGUGAUGGAAAUGUUCUGGAAUGAGUGGUAAUGGUUGUAUUCAUUAUGUCAUGCUAAAACCAAUACAUUGUAUAGUUAAAAUAAUAAAGUUUUUGUUGUGUGAAUUAUAUCUUAAUUUUAAAAAACACUAGUUGGGGAAAACACCCUUAGAUCA
Molecule: long non-coding RNA, 1243 nt
Filed under: Canis lupus familiaris (dog)
Lineage: Eukaryota; Metazoa; Chordata; Mammalia; Carnivora; Canidae
Description: lncRNA (ENSCAFG00805012085.1, ENSCAFG00845028163.1)
Source: RNAcentral